AUUGAACGCUGGCGGCAGGCCUAACACAUGCAAGUCGAGCGGAUGAAGGGAGCUUGCUCCUGGAUUCAGCGGCGGACGGGUGAGUAAUGCCUAGGAAUCUGCCUGGUAGUGGGGGAUAACGUCCGGAAACGGGCGCUAAUACCGCAUACGUCCUGAGGGAGAAAGUGGGGGAUCUUCGAACCUCACGCUAUCAGAUGAGCCUAGGUCGGAUUAGCUAGUUGGUGGGGUAAAGGCCUACCAAGGCGACGAUCCGUAACUGGUCUGAGAGGAUGAUCAGUCACACUGGAACUGAGACACGGUCCAGACUCCUACGGGAGGCAGCAGUGGGGAAUAUUGGACAAUGGGCGAAAGCCUGAUCCAGCAAUGCCGCGUGUGUGAAGAAGGUCUUCGGAUUGUAAAGCACUUUAAGUUGGGAGGAAGGGAAGUAAGUUAAUACCUUGCUGUUUUGACGUUACCAACAGAAUAAGCACCGGCUAACUUCGUG
RNAcentral lists this ribosomal RNA (484 nucleotides) under uncultured bacterium. Its description in RNAcentral is "partial 16S ribosomal RNA". It matches the Rfam family "Bacterial small subunit ribosomal RNA", at positions 30 to 507 of the family's 1533-position model. The record is from RNAcentral.